AGCUCCAAACUAGUCACUCAGCACUGACUAAGGGCUGGGCCAGAGCCUGGGGCUCUGGACAGUGCUGGGCUGGCCUCCCUGCCUCCCAAGGCACACAGUGCAGAGAGCAGGAGCGCCAGGCGAUCAGCACAACACGGUGUGAAGGGGUAUGAAGAGGACCCUGCCGAUUCAUGGUGACAACAACUGACCGCACAUCAGAAGACGUGCCCCCACCCCCAGGAAGACCGAGGCACAUGGCUACUCACAGGAGGCCUCACGCCCUCCCUGUGCCGCUCACCCAGCCUCCAGCUCCGGCAUCUAUCUUCUAGCAUCUAGCUCCCACAACGUCCUCUCCAGGACACAAUACACUUAAUUGUCAUGUCCCUUGAGGUUCCUCUUGGAUGUGGCAGUUUCUCGGACUUACCUUGUUUAUGAUGAUCUGGACAAUUUUGAGGAGUUCCAGUCAGGAGACAAAUCUGUUAGAGAAAGCACAGGAAACGACUCUUUCCAUACAUGAGGAUUAUACUGGUGGUGGUUGGAGGUGUAUCAUAGUCUUCUGGUGGGGAAGCAAGCUGCCAUGUCAGAAAACAGCCCCAAGAUCCUCACAAGAUGACCGACUAAGUAAGGUUUGCAAAACACCAUUAAGUGACCUUGGAAGUGGGUCCCUCUCAACUGAGUCUUCACAUGAGAACACAGUCCCUGGAAGACAGCUGCAACCUCACAAGAGAACUUGAGCCAGAGGCACUUGGCUAAGCCAUGCUCAAAAUUCUGACCCACAGGAACUUAGAAAUAUGAGUUCCCAGGCGAUGCUGAUGCUGCUGGUCCAGCAACAACACUUCGAGAACCACUGGAUUAGAUGAUGACUGAGUAGAGUGAGCCUGUGCUAAACUAAUCUCAUCCUCACAGACUAUGAAGUAAGUACAUAGUCUCAUUUUACAGAUGAAGAAAUGAAGGCUCAACCAGAGUAAGAGCUUUCUGUUAGUCAGGAUGUCAUUAUCAUGCUGAUUAAAGGAAGU
This is a long non-coding RNA of Cervus elaphus (red deer), 995 nucleotides long. RefSeq lists it as uncharacterized. The record is from RefSeq and is a predicted model, not a curated record. Lineage: Eukaryota; Metazoa; Chordata; Mammalia; Artiodactyla; Cervidae. The transcript has 5 exons.